Molecule: ribosomal RNA, 314 nt
Filed under: uncultured bacterium
Lineage: Bacteria
Description: bacterial SSU rRNA
Rfam family: Bacterial small subunit ribosomal RNA
Source: RNAcentral
UGGGGAAUUUUGGACAAUGGGGGAAACCCUGAUCCAGCCAUUCCGCGUGAGUGAAGAAGGCCUUCGGGUUGUAAAGCUCUUUUGUCCGGAACGAAACGGUUAGUGCUAAUACCACUGACUACUGACGGUACCGGAAGAAUAAGCACCGGCUAACUACGUGCCAGCAGCCGCGGUAAUACGUAGGGUGCGAGCGUUAAUCGGAAUUACUGGGCGUAAAGCGUGCGCAGGCGGUUUUGUAAGCCAGAUGUGAAAUCCCCGGGCUUAACCUGGGAAUGGCAUUUGGGACUGCAAGGCUGGAGUGCGGCAGAGGAGAC